Nicrophorus vespilloides is the source of this 428-nucleotide long non-coding RNA. RefSeq lists it as uncharacterized. The transcript is spliced from 3 exons. The record is from RefSeq and is a predicted model, not a curated record. Lineage: Eukaryota; Metazoa; Arthropoda; Insecta; Coleoptera; Silphidae.
UCAAAAAAGGAGAUCAAAGAGGAGAAAUAGGAAGAGAGCAAGGAGGGGGAAGAGGAAGAAGAGAGCGUGGAUGAGGAUGAAAAGAGAAAGGAAGAGGUAGAAAGCAAUGGCAUGUCCAUCGAAAUCUGUUGAUCGUGCAAUGCCCGUAUAAGGAAGCAGUUGAAGUUCAGGUUCGAGGAAGUCGAGGAGCCUAAAGCUGCCGAGGAUGGCACCGGAUGUAACGCAUCAAAGAAGGAGAUCAAAAAGGAGAAAGAGGAAGAGAGCAAGGAGGAAGAGGAAGAAGAGAGCAAAGAAGAGGAAGAAAGCAAUGGCUUGUUGAUCGUGCAAUGCCCGUAUAAGGAAGCAGUUGAAGUUCAGGUUCGAGGAAGUCAAGGUGCAUAUAGCUGCCCAGGAUGGCGCCGGAUGUUGCGCAUCAAAGAAGGAGAUCA